This 411-nucleotide ribosomal RNA is filed under the name Mastus butoti. RNAcentral's name for it is "partial 16S ribosomal RNA". It matches the Rfam family "Bacterial large subunit ribosomal RNA", at positions 1922 to 2609 of the family's 2925-position model. The record is from RNAcentral. Lineage: Eukaryota; Metazoa; Mollusca; Gastropoda; Stylommatophora; Enidae.
CUUUAACGGCCGCAGUACUCUGACUGUGCUAAGGUAGCAUAAUAAUUUGUCUUUUAAUUGAAGACUGGUAUGAAAGGCAUCAUGGAAAUAAGCUGUCUUAAGGGAACCGUGCAAAAUUUACUUAAAAGGUGAAAAUUCCUUUAUUUUGUUAAUAAGACGAGAAGACCCUUAGAAUUAUUACAAUACUUGCUACCAAGGAAAGUUUUUGUUGGGGCAACAUUAUCAAAGAGUAAACUGAUGAUUAUUAAAUGGAGGACAAAAUCAUUAUAUUUAAUAGGGACUUAAUUACCUAAGGGAUAACAGCAUAAUUCGUAUACGAGAGUAUGACCUCGAUGUUGGACUAGGGACUUUUUUCGCUAGACGUGAGAAAAGAUUGUUCUGUUCGAACAAAUAUACCCUACGUGAUCUGAG